Arachis ipaensis is the source of this 998-nucleotide non-coding RNA. NCBI's taxonomy places the organism in Eukaryota, Viridiplantae, Streptophyta, Magnoliopsida, Fabales, Fabaceae. The record is from RefSeq and is a predicted model, not a curated record.
AUUGCCCAUAUUGCAAUAUUUGCCGUGUUGGCCAAGGGCUAGGGAUUGACUAUUUUCAUUGCAUGAAAUGCAAUUGUUGCUUAGGAAUAAAAUCAACAUCUCACAAGUGCCUGGAGAAAGGUCUAGAAAUGAACUGCCCAAUAUGCUGUGAUGACUUGUUCCCAUCAAGUGCGACAGUCAGGGCUCUACCAUGUAGACAUUACAUGCAUUCAGCUUGCUUUUAGGCAUACACAUGUAGUCAUUACACAUGUCCAAUCUGCAACAAGUCGUUGGGAGAUAUGGCGGUAAGAAUAUUUUCUUCGUAAAUAUCUACGAGCAGGCCUAGUAUUGUAUAGCUGUUUUGUGAUCAUGCAUACAAUUAUGUGCUAUGAUUGAUCUUUACAAACCUCUGCAUGUGAUAGCACUAUAUUAGGUGUUUGAUAAAACUAAAUAGUGUAAGGAUACAUGUGCUUUUGUUGACAUUUCAUUAGAAGAUUUAGAAAAGAUUAGUGAUAUCAAAGAAUGCUCAUGUUAAAUCUUGGUACCAUAAACUAUUUGGGUAUGAAAUGAUUAAUUAAGGGAUAUCUAAGGUGAGAGGGUUGGAGGUACAGUUGUACUCUUGAUAGACUACUAUUGGGAUAUAAAUAUUGGGUUGAAAAGCACUAGUUAUCAAACUCUUCUGAUCUUGCUUUCAUGUGGAAACUGAAAUGCAUAAUAUUACAUGGCAUGCAAUACUUAGUUGUUCUUUACCAUCCCAAGUUUACUUUGGUAUGCUUGAUGCUCCAUUGGCUACUGAGGAGCUUCCUGAAGAGUACAGGAACCGCUAUCAGGACAUACUCUACAAUGACUGUGAUAGAAAGGGCACUUCACGUUUUCACUGGUUAUAUCACAAAUGUGGAUUCUGUGGCUCCUACAAUACUAGGUUGAUCAAGACUAAGGCUACAAAUUCUAGCUGCUCCUAGUCCUAGUUAGUGGUGCUCCUAUUUGACAAAAGAGCUAAAGAGGUACAGGAGUUUGUA